UUUCACAAGACGUCUUACCUAUCGUGGCUUAAAUAGGUUUAAAGAUAUUAAAGCCAAGUUUGAAGCAACGAAGUUGACUGAAAAGGUUAUGACCAGCCCUUUUGGACCAUUCUGGGAAGCUAAAGAAUUGACUUUCUCAGGCACAUUGGUCCACAACCUACUCCUGCAAAAGAUAUAAGUUGAAACAGAGAAGGAAGAUGAGAUAUGGUUUUACGUUGGAAAAACAAACAUGAGAUUUGAGCAGCUUGAGUUUGGAUUGAUUAUUGGCUUACCUAUGGGUAGUAGCCCUACAGAGGAAGAGAUAGAAGCCAAGUCCAGUGAUCUUUUAGUGAGGACGUAUUUUGAAGGGAAGAGUGGUGUGCAGUUGGAUACAAUCAGACGACAUCAAAUUUGUGAAAUGCUCCUUUGAUCUCCUCCUCUGAGAAAAGCAUUCCUGCCAUCUAUAUGAAAUAUUCUAUUUAGUGAAGACUUGUCUAAAUGCAAUAAUAUUAGUACCCAAAGCCAACCCUCAACAACAAUUGAGGGAUUGGCAGAGGCGUCUCCGCCAAGAAUGCCGCAACAUCGAAUGCCAAAUUAGAGGCAAUGCUCUCUUCUAUCUCUUAGGGUAAAUUCUCCUGGUUCUUUUUUGGUGGUUGAGAUUAUUGUUUUCUAAUAUCGGUUUGUUUGUUUGAUUGAUUAUUUCCAGAUGUUCAGAGAGAGCAGAAGGGUGUAGAGAAAGCCAUUAGAGAAGCUGCUAAGAGAAAUGACUUGGGCUCAGCCAAGGCCCUUGCAAAGGAAAUUGUAAUUUCGAGGAAAACUGUUAAUUGACUUUACGAAAAUAAGGCCCAGCUAAAUUCAAUAUCAAUGCAUCUUGGAGAAAGUGUUGAUAUUUUAUUCUAGAUCUUGCAUCUUGUUCCGUUGAAGGAGCCCAAGAGGACUUUAUUGAUAUAAUCUAUCUUAUAUUAACAUCAACUUUGAUCAGGUAAGCAAGCAAUAUCCAAUAGCUACAUGUGAUAAUUUGUUGUGCUUGAUUUUAUGCUCCAUAUAACUGCUAUAUUAUUUAAGUUGAAAUUAUGUAUGGAUACUUGAUAUUUAGAUAAUUAAUGAGAUCGGUCAUCAUUAAGGCUACCAUACUUUGAACAACAUUUUUUGGGUCUAUCCAUAUUCAUAGCUCUAACCUCUCUUUCUCUCCCACACAAAAAAACAAGUUUGA
Molecule: long non-coding RNA, 1192 nt
Organism: Cannabis sativa
Lineage: Eukaryota; Viridiplantae; Streptophyta; Magnoliopsida; Rosales; Cannabaceae
Exons: 3
Source: RefSeq, a predicted model, not a curated record